CAAGUCGAACGAGAAAGUGGAGCAAUCCAUGAGUACAGUGGCGUACGGGUGAGUAACACGUGGAUCAUCUACCUCUUUGUGGGGAAUAACCGAGGGAAACCUUGGCUAAUACCGCAUAAGCCCGAGAGGGGAAAGCAGCAAUGCGCAGAGAGAGGAGUCCGCGGCCGAUUAGCUAGUUGGCAGGGUAAAAGCCUACCAAGGCAGAGAUCGGUAGCCGGCCUGAGAGGGCACACGGCCACACUGGCACUGAAACACGGGCCAGACUCCUACGGGAGGCAGCAGUGGGGAAUCUUGCACAAUGGGGGAAACCCUGAUGCAGCGACGCCGCGUGAGCGAUGAAGCCCUUCGGGGUGUAAAGCUCUUUCGGCAGGGAAGAUAGUGACGGUACCUGCAGAAGCAGCUGCGGCUAACUACGUGCCAGCAGCCGCGGUAAUACGUAGGCAGCAAGCGUUGUUCGGAGUUACUGGGCGUAAAGGGUGUGUAGGCGGUUGUUUAAGUUUGGUGUGAAAUCUCCCGGCUCAACUGGGAGGGUGCGCCGAAUACUGAAUGACUUCGAGUGCGGGAGAGGAGAGUGGAAUUCCUGGUGUAGCGGUGAAAUGCGUAGAUAUCAGGAGGAACACCGGUGGGUGUAGACGGCUCUCUGGACCGUAACUGACGCUGAGACACGAAAGCGUGGGUAGCAAACAGGAUUAGAUACCCUGGUAGUCCACGCCCUAAACGAUGCACAUUUGGUGUGGGCAGUUCAUUCUGUCCGUGCCGGAGCUAACGCGUUAAAUGCGCCGCC
RNAcentral lists this ribosomal RNA (784 nucleotides) under uncultured Bacillota bacterium. RNAcentral's name for it is "bacterial SSU rRNA". It matches the Rfam family "Bacterial small subunit ribosomal RNA", at positions 58 to 873 of the family's 1533-position model. The record is from RNAcentral. Lineage: Bacteria; Bacillati; Bacillota.